UACAGAGGAGCCAAGCGUUGUCCGGAUUGACUGGGCGUAAAGCGCACGCAGGCGGGUGCGCGCGUGGGGUGUGAAAUCUGGCCGCUUAACGGCCAGGCGCCAUCCCAUACGGCGCGCCUGGAGCCUUGCAGAGGUCGGUGGAAUUGCCGGUGUAGUGGUGAAAUGCGUAGAGAUCGGCAGGAACACCCAGGGGGAAACCAGCCGCCUGGGCAAGCGCUGACGCUGAGGUGCGAGAGCGUGGGGAGCGAACCGG
This 253-nucleotide ribosomal RNA is filed under the name uncultured bacterium. RNAcentral describes it as "partial 16S ribosomal RNA". It matches the Rfam family "Bacterial small subunit ribosomal RNA", at positions 524 to 776 of the family's 1533-position model. The record is from RNAcentral.